RNAcentral lists this ribosomal RNA (247 nucleotides) under uncultured Mycobacterium sp. Its description in RNAcentral is "partial 16S ribosomal RNA". It matches the Rfam family "Bacterial small subunit ribosomal RNA", at positions 527 to 773 of the family's 1533-position model. The record is from RNAcentral. Lineage: Bacteria; Bacillati; Actinomycetota; Actinomycetes; Mycobacteriales; Mycobacteriaceae.
GUAGGGUGCGAGCGUUGUCCGGAAUUACUGGGCGUAAAGAGCUCGUAGGUGGUUUGUCGCGUUGUCCGUGAAAUCUCACAACUCAAUUGUGAGCGUGCGGGCGAUACGGGCAGACUGGAGUACUGCAGGGGAGACUGGAAUUCCUGGUGUAGCGGUGGAAUGCGCAGAUAUCAGGAGGAACACCGGUGGCGAAGGCGGGUCUCUGGGCAGUAACUGACGCUGAGGAGCGAAAGCGUGGGGAGCGAAC